AGCAGCCGCGGUAAUUCCAGCUCCAAUAGCGUAUAUUAAAGUUGUUGCAGUUAAAAAGCUCGUAGUUGAAUUUCGGAAUCUGUCCAUCGGUCGGGCUUCACUGUCCGUACUGGUGUGGUGGGUUCUUACCUUCUGAAUAACCAGCAUGCCAUUAAUUUGGUGCGUUGGGGAAGCAGGACUAUUACCUUGAAAAAAUUAGAGUGCUCAAAGCAGGCCAGUGCCUGAAUAUAUUAGCAUGGAAUAAUAAAAUAGGACGGCAUGGUUCUAUUUUGUUGGUUUCUAGGAUCACCGUAAUGAUUAAUAGGGAUAGUUGGGGGCAUUAGUAUUCAAUUGUCAGAGGUGAAAUUCUUGGAUUUAUUGAAGACUAACUUCUGCGAAAGCAUUUGCCAAGGAUGUUUUCAUUAAUCAAGAACGAAAGUUAGGGGAUCGAAGACGAUCAGAUACCGUCGUAGUCUUAACCAUAAACUAUGCCGACUAGGGAUCGGACGAUGUUAAUUUUAAUGACUCGUUCGGCGCCUUA
This 520-nucleotide ribosomal RNA is filed under the name uncultured Glomeromycotina. RNAcentral's name for it is "SSU rRNA". It matches the Rfam family "Eukaryotic small subunit ribosomal RNA", at positions 569 to 1090 of the family's 1831-position model. Lineage: Eukaryota; Fungi; Glomeromycota. The record is from RNAcentral.